This 427-nucleotide ribosomal RNA is filed under the name uncultured bacterium. RNAcentral describes it as "partial 16S ribosomal RNA". It matches the Rfam family "Bacterial small subunit ribosomal RNA", at positions 355 to 774 of the family's 1533-position model. The record is from RNAcentral.
UGGGGAAUAUUGGACAAUGGGCGAAAGCCUGAUCCAGCCAUGCCGCGUGUGUGAAGAAGGUCUUCGGAUUGUAAAGCACUUUAAGUUGGGAGGAAGGGCACUAACCUAAUACGUUAGUGUUUUGACGUUACCGACAGAAUAAGCACCGGCUAACUCUGUGCCAGCAGCCGCGGUAAUACAGAGGGUGCAAGCGUUAAUCGGAAUUACUGGGCGUAAAGCGCGCGUAGGUGGUUUGUUAAGUUGGAUGUGAAAUCCCCGGGCUCAACCUGGGAACUGCAUUCAAAACUGACUGACUAGAGUAUUGUAGAGGGUGGUGGAAUUUCCUGUGUAGCGGUGAAAUGCGUAGAUAUAGGAAGGAACACCAGUGGCGAAGGCGACCACCUGGACUAAUACUGACACUGAGGUGCGAAAGCGUGGGGAGCAAACA